UGACGUGUAGCUCAGCAGGUAGAGCGAUUGGGGUCGAUGCCCAAAAAUGCGCCGGUUCGAAUCCGGUCACGUUAA
Molecule: transfer RNA, 75 nt
Filed under: Enterococcus avium
Lineage: Bacteria; Bacillati; Bacillota; Bacilli; Lactobacillales; Enterococcaceae
Description: tRNA-Ile
Rfam family: tRNA
About the family: Transfer RNA (tRNA) molecules are approximately 80 nucleotides in length. Their secondary structure includes four short double-helical elements and three loops (D, anti-codon, and T loops).
Source: RNAcentral